RNAcentral lists this ribosomal RNA (477 nucleotides) under uncultured bacterium. RNAcentral describes it as "partial 16S ribosomal RNA". It matches the Rfam family "Bacterial small subunit ribosomal RNA", at positions 28 to 523 of the family's 1533-position model. The record is from RNAcentral.
GAUGAACGCUGACAGAAUGCUUAACACAUGCAAGUCUACUUGAUUCUACUUCGGUAGUUGAUGGUGGCGGACGGGUGAGUAACGCGUAAAGAAUCUGCCCUUUAGUUUGGGAUAACCUUUGGAAACGAAGGCUAAUACCGGAUAUUAUGGAGACGUCGCAUGACGACUCCAUGAAAGCUAUAUGCGCUAGAGGAGGACUUUGCGUCCCAUUAGUUAGUUGGUGAGGUAAUGGCUCCCCAAGACCGCGAUGGGUAGCCGGCCUGAGAGGGUGAUCGGCCACAAGGGAACUGAGACACGGUCCUUACUCCUACGGGAGGCAGCAGUGGGGAAUAUUGGACAAUGGGCCACAAGCCUGAUCCAGCAAUUCUGUGUGCGCGAUGAAGGUCUUCGGAUUGUAAAGUGCUUUCAGUAGGGAAGAAAAAAUGACGGUACCUACAGAAGAAGCGACGGCUAAAUAUGUGCCAGCAGCCGCAGUAA